UCAAGGGAGGAAGACAAGGUUUCCUGCAGAAAUUCAGCUGGAGCCUCAAAACUCCCCAGCCGUGAGUGAUCCAACUCUUUCCUCUGCCCCAGGUGGUGGGUCUGAGCCUAGAUGAGUAGCCCACAGGCUAGCAGGUCCUCAGAGACACAGCUCUGAAGGUGGAGAUCCGCUUGCCUCCCUGCCGUGACGCAGAUCACACACCAAAAAGGAGGCUUCACUUGGAGUGCUUCCCGCAAUGGGGCCAGACUUGUUUAUCCAGAAAGAAGUGACUUCACUGGGAAGAGGCUCACAGGAUUCCCCAUGAGGCUGCCCCAUUGAAAACCACCCUUGGAGACCUGGGUUGGCCACAGAGCUGUUGACACAGAUGUGCUAAGCCCGGAGACUCACUG
Molecule: non-coding RNA, 389 nt
Organism: Vicugna pacos (alpaca)
Lineage: Eukaryota; Metazoa; Chordata; Mammalia; Artiodactyla; Camelidae
Source: RefSeq, a predicted model, not a curated record